This 467-nucleotide ribosomal RNA is filed under the name uncultured bacterium. Its description in RNAcentral is "partial 16S ribosomal RNA". It matches the Rfam family "Bacterial small subunit ribosomal RNA", at positions 28 to 507 of the family's 1533-position model. The record is from RNAcentral.
GACGAACGCUGGCGGCGUGCUUAACACAUGCAAGUCGAACGGAAAGGCCCUUUUCGGGGGGUUCUCGAGAGGCGAACGGGAGAGUAACACGUGAGUAACCUGCCCCUGACUCUGGGAUAACUUCAGGAAACGGGGGCUAAUACCGGAAAGGAGCUCCUGCAGCACGGUGGGGGUUGGAAAGUUUCGGCGGUUGGGGCUUGGAUGGCGGGUUGUCAGUUUGUUGGUGGGGUAGUGGCUUACCAAGGCUUUGAAGGGUAGCCGGCCUGGGUGGGUGACCGGCCACAUUGAGACUGAGAGGCGGCCCAGACUCCUACGGGUGGCAGCAGGGGGGAAUAUUGCACAAUGGGUGGAGGCCGGAUGCAGCAAGGCUGUGGGCGGGAUGACGGCGUUGGGGUUGAAGACCGCUUUCGCUCAUGCCGAAGCUUUGUGUGACGGUAGUGGGUAAAGAAGCACCGGCUAACUACGUG